RNAcentral lists this ribosomal RNA (498 nucleotides) under uncultured bacterium. Its description in RNAcentral is "partial 16S ribosomal RNA". It matches the Rfam family "Bacterial small subunit ribosomal RNA", at positions 28 to 507 of the family's 1533-position model. The record is from RNAcentral.
GACGAACGCUGGCGGCAUGCCUAAUACAUGCAAGUUGAACGAUGAUAUUCUCUGCUUGCAGAGACUUGAAGAGUAGCGAACGGGUGAGUAACACGUGGGGAACCUGCCCAUGAGAGGGGGAUAACAUUCGGAAACGGAUGCUAAUACCGCAUAAUGCUUUGGACCGCCUGGUCCAGCGACGAAAGACGGCUUUUGCUGUCACUCAUGGUUGGCCCCCCGCCGUAUUUGCUAGUUGGGGAGGGAAUGGCUCACCAAAGCUGUGAUACGGAGCCGACCUGAGAGGGUGGUCGGACACCCUGGGACUGAGACACGGCCGAGACUCCUACGGGAGGCCGCAGUAGGGACUCUUCCACGAUGUGCGAGAGCGUGAUGGAGCAAUGCCGCGUGAAUGAAGAAGGUCCUCGGAUCGUAGAGUUCUGUUAUUAGUGAAGAACAAGUCAAGGAGUAACUGUCUUGACUUUGACGGUACCGAACCAGAAAGCCCCGGCUAACUACGUG